RNAcentral lists this ribosomal RNA (520 nucleotides) under uncultured Sulfurovum sp. Its description in RNAcentral is "bacterial SSU rRNA". It matches the Rfam family "Bacterial small subunit ribosomal RNA", at positions 877 to 1397 of the family's 1533-position model. The record is from RNAcentral. Lineage: Bacteria; Pseudomonadati; Campylobacterota; Epsilonproteobacteria; Campylobacterales; Sulfurovaceae.
GGAGUGCGGUCGCAAGAUUAAAACUCAAAGGAAUAGACGGGGACCCGCACAAGUGGUGGAGCAUGUGGUUUAAUUCGAAGAUACGCGAAGAACCUUACCUAGCCUUGACAUAUUUUAGAACACUUUAGAGAUAGAGUGGUGCCUUCGGGAGCUAAUAUACAGGUGCUGCACGGCUGUCGUCAGCUCGUGUCGUGAGAUGUUGGGUUAAGUCCCGCAACGAGCGCAACCCUCGUCACUAGUUACUAACGGUUCGGCCGAGGACUCUAGUGAGACUGCCUUCGUAAGGAGGAGGAAGGUGAGGACGACGUCAAGUCAUCAUGGCCCUUACGGCUAGGGCAACACACGUGCUACAAUGGCCAGGACAAUGAGAAGCGAUACCGCGAGGUGGAGCAAAUCUAUAAACCUGGUCUCAGUUCGGAUUGUAGUCUGCAACUCGACUACAUGAAGCUGGAAUCACUAGUAAUUGUAGAUCAGCUAUGCUACGGUGAAUACGUUCCCGGGUCUUGCACACACCGCCCGU